RNAcentral lists this ribosomal RNA (378 nucleotides) under Duttaphrynus himalayanus (Himalayan toad). RNAcentral's name for it is "partial 12S ribosomal RNA". It matches the Rfam family "Bacterial small subunit ribosomal RNA", at positions 794 to 1384 of the family's 1533-position model. The record is from RNAcentral. Lineage: Eukaryota; Metazoa; Chordata; Amphibia; Anura; Bufonidae.
GCCCAGCCGUAAACUUUUAUUUACAUUUCAUCGCCAGGGAACUACAAGCCAAGCUUAAAACCCAAAGGACUUGACGGUACCCCAUAUCCCCCUAGAGGAGCCUGUCCUAUAAUCGAUAACCCACGUUUAACCUCACCAUUUUUAGUCUAAUCAGCCUGUAUACCUCCGUCGUCAGCUUACCACGUGAGCGCCAAUUAGUGAGCUUAAUGUUAUUUCACCAGUACGUCAGGUCAAGGUGCAGCAAAUAAAAUGGGAAGAGAUGGGCUACACUCUCUAUAUUAGAAAAAACGAAAAACUACCUAUGAAAUCUAGUUAGAAGGCGGAUUUAGCAGUAAAAAGGAAUCAGCAUGUCCAUUUUAACCCGGCACUGGGGUGUGU